Molecule: ribosomal RNA, 274 nt
Filed under: uncultured bacterium
Lineage: Bacteria
Description: partial 16S ribosomal RNA
Rfam family: Bacterial small subunit ribosomal RNA
Source: RNAcentral
AUACGGAGGGUGCGAGCGUUAAUCGGAAUUACUGGGCGUAAAGGGUGCGUAGGCGGCUUGAUAAGUCGGAUGUGAAAGCCCCGGGCUUAACCUGGGAAUUGCAUUCGAUACUGUCAGGCUAGAGUAUGUCAGAGGUUGGCGGAAUUCCUGGUGUAGCGGUGAAAUGCGUAGAUAUCAGGAGGAACACCAGUGGCGAAGGCGGCUAACUGGGGCAAUACUGACGCUGAGGCACGAAAGCGUGGGGAGCGAACAGGAUUAGAAACCCUAGUAGUCC